This 460-nucleotide ribosomal RNA is filed under the name uncultured bacterium. Its description in RNAcentral is "partial 16S ribosomal RNA". It matches the Rfam family "Bacterial small subunit ribosomal RNA", at positions 338 to 795 of the family's 1533-position model. The record is from RNAcentral.
CCUACGGGUGGCAGCAGUGAGGAAUCUUGGUCAAUGGACGAGAGUCUGACCCAGCAAAGUAGCGUGAAGGAUGACUGCCCUCUGGGUUGUACACUUCUUUUAUAUGGGAAUAAAACGUUCCACGUGUGUGAUUUUGUAUGUACCAUAUGUAUAAGGAUCGGCUAACUCCGUGCCAGCACCCGCGGUAAUACGGAGGAUCCGAGCGUUAUCCGGAUUGAUUGGGUUUAAAGGGAGCGUAGGUGGAUUGUUAAGUCAGUUGUGAAAGUUUGCGGCUCAACCGUAAAAUUGCAGUUGAAACUGGCAGUCUUGAGUACAGUAGAGGUGGGCGGAAUUCGUGGUGUAGCGGUGAAAUGCUUAGAUAUCACGAAGAACUCCGAGUGCGAAGGCAGUUCACUGGACUGCAACUGACACUGAGGCUCGAAAGUGUGGGUAUCAAACAGGAUUAGAUACCCCUGUAGUC